GAUGAACGCUGGCGGCGUGCCUAAUACAUGCAAGUCGAGCGAACAGACGAGGAGCUUGCUCCUCUGACGUUAGCGACGGACGGGUGAGUAACACGUGGAUAACCUACCUAUAAGACGGGGAUAACUUCGGGAAACCGGAGCUAAUACCGGAUAAUAUAUUGAACCGCAUGGUUCAAUAGUGAGAGGCGGUUUUGCUGUCACUUAUAGAUGGAUCCGCGCUGCAGUAGCUAGUUGGUAAGGUAACGGCUUACCAAGGCGACGAUGCGUAGCCGACCUGAGAGGGUGAUCGGCCACACUGGAACUGCGACACGGUCCAGACUCCUACGGGAGGCAGCAGUAGGGAAUCUUCCGCAAUGGGCGAAAGCCUGACGGAGCACCGCCGCGUGAGUGAUGAAGGUCUUCGGAUCGUAAAACUCUGUUAUUAGGGAAGAACAAAUGUGUAAGUAACUAUGCACGUCUUGACGGUACCUAAUCAGAAAGCCACGGCUAACUACGUG
This 497-nucleotide ribosomal RNA is filed under the name uncultured bacterium. RNAcentral describes it as "partial 16S ribosomal RNA". It matches the Rfam family "Bacterial small subunit ribosomal RNA", at positions 28 to 507 of the family's 1533-position model. The record is from RNAcentral.